UACCCGCUGAACUUAAGCAUAUCAAUAAGCGGAGGAAAAGAAACUAACAAGGAUUCCCCUAGUAACGGCGAGUGAAGCGGGAAGAGCUCAAAUUUGAAAUCUGGUAGCCUUCGGUUGCCCGAGUUGUAAUCUAGAGAAGUGUUUUCCGUGCCGGCCCAUGUACAAGUCCCUUGGAACAGGGCGUCAUAGAGGGUGAGAAUCCCGUCCUUGACAUGGACCCCCGGUGCUUUGUGAUACACUUUCAACGAGUCGAGUUGUUUGGGAAUGCAGCUCAAAAUGGGUGGUGAAUUCCAUCUAAAGCUAAAUAUUGGCGAGAGACCGAUAGCGAACAAGUACCGUGAGGGAAAGAUGAAAAGCACUUUGGAAAGAGAGUUAAACAGUACGUGAAAUUGUUGAAAGGGAAACGAUUGAAGUCAGUCAUGCUCUUAGGAUUCAGCCGUUCUGCGGUGUAUUUCCUUUGAGUGGGGUCAACAUCAGUUUUGAUCGAUGGAUAAAGGCACGAGGAAGGUAGCACUCUCGGGUGAACUUAUAGCCUCGCGUCAUAUACAUUGAUUGGGACUGAGGAACGCAGCAUGCCUUUAUGGCCGGGAUCGUCCACGU
This 600-nucleotide ribosomal RNA is filed under the name Naganishia adeliensis. Its description in RNAcentral is "eukaryotic LSU rRNA". It matches the Rfam family "Eukaryotic large subunit ribosomal RNA", at positions 22 to 626 of the family's 3401-position model. The record is from RNAcentral. Lineage: Eukaryota; Fungi; Basidiomycota; Tremellomycetes; Filobasidiales; Filobasidiaceae.